AUCCCAUGAUGUGGACAGGCGGCAACGUUUUCCUACAAUCUUUCCCAUGCUUCCGGGAUCGUCUCAUCUUUCGUCUGCUGGAAGUUGGAUAUUCUUCCACAAAGGGC
This is a non-coding RNA of Oryza punctata, 107 nucleotides long. NCBI's taxonomy places the organism in Eukaryota, Viridiplantae, Streptophyta, Magnoliopsida, Poales, Poaceae. The record is from Rfam.